UCCUCUGUCUGCUAGUCUUCUUUGAUCCUUGAAUUUUGUGGAGCUCAAAUAGACAACAAAGCUUUGUGGAACUGGUUAAGUGUUAGCAUAAAAAUCUAGCCUUUAUCAUGUUGAGCUUCCUCUAAUAUUACUCUCUUUGGUAGGAUCAUAAAUUUAUUUUUAUAUUUUUAUUUUUAUAGGACAGAAAUAUAUUUAUUUUUAUGCCACCACAGUGAAUGUACUUAUGGGUUUUAUGCCACGAGCAUACUCACAUGGGGCUUACAAUUUUAUGAUGCAGUGCAAUGAACAAAUAUUUUUCUUUUCUUUUCUAAUGCUAAUGUAGAAAAGUAAAUAUGCUAAUGCGAGUGAUGGAAUAAAAUAAAAAAAGGAAUGCAGAAAAGAUAAAUAUGGAUAAAUAUCGAUUUUACCUUCCGGCAAGGAUCCAAUGUUUUAAGUCUUCUGGACAAGACUUCUCACCGUGUUCAUUCUUUGGGUGUGUCAUUUGAUUCACGUGCGGACCUUGACGUCUGCACCUCUUGAUACGGUGUCACCCAUGUUCUUCGUUUGCCCAGCAGUUCAAAGUCCGGCGUUGGCAGUAUCUUGCUCAGUGUGUUUGUGCUCGUAGUGUACCUGCUCAUAGAGACAAGGCAGAGAUCAAGUGCAUGGGCCCUGUUGGUGGAAAACACCAACAGAACCAAAAGUGUAUUUGUUCUUCUCUAACCUUAAGCAUGGUGAGCAAGACAAAGUUAAUGAAUGAUAAGUUCAUGAGUGUAGCAUUUAAAACAUUUGCCGGAUCAGAUCGCUCAACCUAAUGGAAAGAUAAUCUAUCUAUAUAUAUGUCUUUUUCUUUAUAUCUUCUCAAAGAUUAAAUGUGCAACAUUUUAGCUCAUAUGACUAGGAGUGUGGGGAUCAAAGAUUAAGGGACUAAACAUACUGAAUCAGUGGGGUUGGUUAAUUUGGAGUUAUAAAUUAUUCAUGUUUGUCUCUUUUAUUCAUAUGAACGCCAGAACCAAGGAGAAGCUUAUAAAAGUGACAGUCAAGUACCUUAAGGUGUUACCUUAAUUGAAGAGUGAUGGUACAGUCUCACCUUGUGCAAGCUUUCCUUUCUUAGCGGUUGUGCAUCGUGUUUGUAGCACUCUCCAUGGAUCAUCUCUUAUGAGCUACGUCUUCCUUGUGUAAAUUGUUAAACUUCAUGUGUCUCUCUCUUUGUCUCUGAUGUGAGUUUAUCUCAGGACUUCCCAGCUCGAUAUUGAAAGUUUUCCUGCAGGGGUUAGUCCAACAAAAUAUCCAAUAUCUACUAUAGCAUACUAUCGGCUCAAAAAUCAACCUAGACACCAUGU
Molecule: long non-coding RNA, 1319 nt
Filed under: Sorghum bicolor (sorghum)
Lineage: Eukaryota; Viridiplantae; Streptophyta; Magnoliopsida; Poales; Poaceae
Description: long non-coding RNA (SBIC_LNC005283)
Source: RNAcentral